This 253-nucleotide ribosomal RNA is filed under the name uncultured bacterium. RNAcentral's name for it is "partial 16S ribosomal RNA". It matches the Rfam family "Bacterial small subunit ribosomal RNA", at positions 524 to 776 of the family's 1533-position model. RNAcentral also lists the same sequence under 1 other name. The record is from RNAcentral.
GACAGAGGUUGCAAACGUUGUUCGGAAUCACUGGGCAUAAAGCGCACGUAGGCGGUCUGUUAAGUCAGAUGUGAAAGCCCCCGGCUCAACCGGGGAACUGCAUUUGAUACUGGCAGGCUCGAGAACGGUAGGGGUGAGUGGAACUCCAGGUGGAGCGGUGAAAUGCGUAGAUAUCUGGAGGAACACCGGUGGCGAAAGCGGCUCACUGGACCGUCACUGACGCUGAGGUGCGAAAGCUAGGGUAGCAAACGGG